This 301-nucleotide ribosomal RNA is filed under the name uncultured bacterium. Its description in RNAcentral is "partial 16S ribosomal RNA". It matches the Rfam family "Bacterial small subunit ribosomal RNA", at positions 509 to 807 of the family's 1533-position model. The record is from RNAcentral.
CAGCCGCCGCGGUAAUACGAGGGGGGCAAGCGUUGUUCGGAUUUAUUGGGCGUAAAGGGUGCGUAGGCGGUUUGGCAAGUCUUGUGUGAAAUCUUCGGGCUCAACCCGAAGCCUGCACGAGAAACUACCGGGCUUGAGUAUUGGAGUGGUGAGUGGAAUUUCCGGUGUAGCGGUGAAAUGCGUAGAUAUCGGAAGGAACACCUGUGGCGAAAGCGGCUCACUGGACAGUAACUGACGCUGAUGCACGAAAGCUAGGGGAGCAAACAGGAUUAGAUACCCCGGUAGUCCCUGUCUCUUAUAC